RNAcentral lists this ribosomal RNA (253 nucleotides) under uncultured bacterium. Its description in RNAcentral is "partial 16S ribosomal RNA". It matches the Rfam family "Bacterial small subunit ribosomal RNA", at positions 524 to 776 of the family's 1533-position model. The record is from RNAcentral.
UACGUAGGUGGCGAGCGUCGUCCGGAUUUACUGGGCGUAAAGGGAGCGUAGGCGGACUUUUAAGUGAGAUGUGAAAUACUCGGGCUCAACUUGAGUGCUGCAUUUCAAACUGGAAGUCUAGAGUGCAGGAGAGGAGAAUGGAAUUCCUAGUGUAGCGGUGAAAUGCGUAGAGAUUAGGAAGAACACCAGUGGCGAAAGCGGCUCUCUGGUCUGUAACUGACGCUGAGGUUCGAAAGCGUGGGUAGCAAACAGG